GACGAACGCUGGCGGCGUGCUUAACACAUGCAAGUCGAACGGAAAGGCCCUGCUGUUGUGGGGUGCUCGAGUGGCGAACGGGUGAGUAACACGUGAGUAACCUGCCCUUGACUUUGGGAUAACUUCAGGAAACUGGGGCUAAUACCGGAUAGGAGCUCCUGCUGCAUGGUGGGGGUUGGAAAGUUUCGGCGGUUGGGGAUGGACUCGCGGCUUAUCAGCUUGUUGGUGGGGUAGUGGCUUACCAAGGCUUUGACGGGUAGCCGGCCUGAGAGGGUGACCGGCCACAUUGGGACUGAGAUACGGCCCAGACUCCUACGGGAGGCAGCAGUGGGGAAUAUUGCACAAUGGGCGGAAGCCUGAUGCAGCAACGCCGCGUGCGGGAUGAAGGCCUUCGGGUUGUAAACCGCUUUCGCCUGUGACGAAGCGUGAGUGACGGUAAUGGGUAAAGAAGCACCGGCUAACUACGUG
Molecule: ribosomal RNA, 468 nt
Filed under: uncultured bacterium
Lineage: Bacteria
Description: partial 16S ribosomal RNA
Rfam family: Bacterial small subunit ribosomal RNA
Source: RNAcentral